CUUAUCGGUUGUCUAUGAACAAAGUGCAGUAGACUAGUCAGCCGAGAACCUUUGGAAGCAAAGCUAAGAAAAUAUUUUGACGAUUCAACGUGCGCCUUCUACGUACGAAACGUCUCUUGAAUUUUGACACUGGUGAGUCUAGGUGAAAUAAAAUGACAACAGGACCAUGUGCAGUAACAAUUUAAUAGCAUGAGCAGGGAAAAUCCAAUACUUGCUGCUCAGCUAACAAUAGAACGAAGAAAUAAUCUACACGACAGAGUUCUCUAAGCCAAUGUGAGGUCAGAAUACACAUGAAUAUUGAAAUGCUAGUACAUUUUUUUAGUGUAAAAUUGAAGAAGGUUUCCGUAUUCGCGUUGAAUUGAUGCC
This 366-nucleotide long non-coding RNA is filed under the name Mytilus galloprovincialis (Mediterranean mussel). The record is from RNAcentral. Lineage: Eukaryota; Metazoa; Mollusca; Bivalvia; Mytilida; Mytilidae.